GUGGGGAAUAUUGGACAAUGGGCGAAAGCCUGAUCCAGCCAUGCCGCGUGUGUGAAGAAGGUCUUCGGAUUGUAAAGCACUUUAAGUUGAGAGGAAGGGCAGUAAGUUAAUACCUUGCUGUUUUGACGUUACCAACAGAAUAAGCACCGGCUAACUUCGUGCCAGCAGCCGCGGUAAUACGAAGGGUGCAAGCGUUAAUCGGAAUUACUGGGCGUAAAGCGCGCGUAGGUGGUUCAGCAAGUUGAAGGUGAAAUCCCCGGGCUCAACCUGGGAACUGCCUCCAAAACUACUGAGCUAGAGUACGGUAGAGGGUAGUGGAAUUUCCUGUGUAGCGGUGAAAUGCGUAGAUAUAGGAAGGAACACCAGUGGCGAAGGCGACUACCUGGACUGAUACUGACACUGAGGUGCGAAAGCGUGGGGAGCAAACAGGAUUAGAUACCCGGGUAGUCC
RNAcentral lists this ribosomal RNA (450 nucleotides) under uncultured bacterium. Its description in RNAcentral is "partial 16S ribosomal RNA". It matches the Rfam family "Bacterial small subunit ribosomal RNA", at positions 354 to 796 of the family's 1533-position model. The record is from RNAcentral.